Molecule: transfer RNA, 69 nt
Filed under: Xixuthrus sp. ANIC_25-067096
Lineage: Eukaryota; Metazoa; Arthropoda; Insecta; Coleoptera; Cerambycidae
Description: tRNA-Gln
Source: RNAcentral
UGCACCUUAGUAUAUGAGGUACUCAAAUUUUUGGUAUUUGCAGGGGUAGUUUGAUUCUACCAGGUGCAA